Molecule: unclassified non-coding RNA, 329 nt
Filed under: plant metagenome
Description: partial contains 5.8S ribosomal RNA, internal transcribed spacer 2, and large subunit ribosomal RNA
Source: RNAcentral
AAGCUCGGCGGGAUCUCCACGGGCGAGCGCAACACCCUGAUCGCCUUCGGUGUAGCGGUAACCCUCUGGAUCCUGCCCGGCAUCGUGAGCCUUAUCUUCGGCCAGGAAUCCGCGCCCGCGAGCUUUUUGAGAGAGCACCUGAACGAGGGGGUCGUGGCUAUACUCGCGGCGGCGCUUUUGUUCUUACUGCCGAUCAACUGGUCCGAGCGGCGCUUCACCCUCACCUGGAACGAGGCCGUCCGCAUAGAUUGGGGCACCAUCCUGCUCUUCGGCGCCGGCAUCACCCUCGGUCAGCUACUCUCCGACACGGGGCUCGCCAGGACCAGAGG